GGAGGGAUGGCUGAGUGGUUGAAAGCACCGGUUUCGAAAGCCGGCAACGGGGCGACUCGUUCGGGGGUUCAAAUCCCUCUCCCUACGCCA
This 90-nucleotide transfer RNA is filed under the name Rhodobiaceae bacterium. RNAcentral's name for it is "tRNA-Ser". It matches the Rfam family "tRNA". From Rfam's summary of the family: Transfer RNA (tRNA) molecules are approximately 80 nucleotides in length. Their secondary structure includes four short double-helical elements and three loops (D, anti-codon, and T loops). Further hydrogen bonds mediate the characteristic L-shaped molecular structure. tRNAs have two regions of fundamental functional importance: the anti-codon, which is responsible for specific mRNA codon recognition, and the 3' end, to which the tRNAs corresponding amino acid is attached (by aminoacyl-tRNA synthetases). tRNAs cope with the degeneracy of the genetic code in two manners: having more than one tRNA (with a specific anti-codon) for a particular amino acid; and 'wobble' base-pairing, i.e. permitting non-standard base-pairing at the 3rd anti-codon position. The record is from RNAcentral. Lineage: Bacteria; Pseudomonadati; Pseudomonadota; Alphaproteobacteria; Hyphomicrobiales; Rhodobiaceae.